GCCAUCGAACAGGGUGCGCAGGGCCUCCCCUUAAAAGGGUCCCGGUGUCGGUUCGAGUCCGACCGGGGGCA
Molecule: transfer RNA, 71 nt
Filed under: Pseudonocardia sp. SID8383
Lineage: Bacteria; Bacillati; Actinomycetota; Actinomycetes; Pseudonocardiales; Pseudonocardiaceae
Description: tRNA-Leu
Source: RNAcentral